GCCUGAUCCAGCCAUGCCGCGUGCAGGAUGACGGUCCUAUGGAUUGUAAACUGCUUUUGUACGGGAAAAAACACUCCGACGUGUCGGAGCUUGACGGUACCGUAAGAAUAAGGAUCGGCUAACUCCGUGCCAGCAGCCGCGGUAAUACGGAGGAUCCAAGCGUUAUCCGGAAUCAUUGGGUUUAAAGGGUCCGUAGGCGGUCUGGUAAGUCAGUGGUGAAAGCCCAUCGCUCAACGGUGGAACGGCCAUUGAUACUGCUGGACUUGAAUUACUGGGAAGCAACUAGAAUAUGUAGUGUAGCGGUGAAAUGCUUAGAGAUUACAUGGAAUACCAAUUGCGAACGCAGGUUGCUACCAGUGGAUUGACGCUGAUGGACGAAAGCGUGGGUAGCGAACAGGAUUAGAUACCCUGGUAGUCCACGCCGUAAACGAUGGAUACUAGCUGUUGGGAGCAAUCUCAGUGGCUAAGCGAAAGUGAUAAGUAUCCCACCUGGGGAGUACGUUCGCAAGAAUGAAACUCAAAGGAAUUGACGGGGGCCCGCACAAGCGGUGGAGCAUGUGGUUUAAUUCGAUGAUACGCGAGGAACCUUACCAAGGCUUAAAUGCAGACUGACCGAUUUGGAAACAGAUCUUUCGC
This 636-nucleotide ribosomal RNA is filed under the name Flavobacterium sp. So1Ps_568. RNAcentral's name for it is "bacterial SSU rRNA". It matches the Rfam family "Bacterial small subunit ribosomal RNA", at positions 381 to 1018 of the family's 1533-position model. The record is from RNAcentral. Lineage: Bacteria; Pseudomonadati; Bacteroidota; Flavobacteriia; Flavobacteriales; Flavobacteriaceae.